RNAcentral lists this ribosomal RNA (648 nucleotides) under Coptotermes gestroi. RNAcentral's name for it is "partial large subunit ribosomal RNA". The stretch from base 234 to 395 matches the Rfam family "Archaeal large subunit ribosomal RNA", at positions 1884 to 2089 of the family's 2987-position model. The record is from RNAcentral. Lineage: Eukaryota; Metazoa; Arthropoda; Insecta; Blattodea; Rhinotermitidae.
GUUUUGUUUUUAUAAUUUUUGUUUGUUAUUUAAUUUUGUGGAUUUUAUAGUGAUUUUCAAUUUGAUUAUGUUAAAAUUUUAUUUAUUUCUUUUGUUAUUUUGGUUUGAUUUAAUUAUUUAUUGGAAUAUUUUCUUUACUUUUUAUUGGAUUGUAAUUAUUGUGGAAUUAGUAAAUUUGUUUAUUGUGUUGUUUUAUUUUUGUGUAAUUUCUUUUGAGGAAUUAGGCAAAUUUUGUGUCCGCCUGUUUAACAAAAACAUCUUUUCUUGUUAGUUUUUGAAGUAUGGCCUGCCCGCUGACAUUUGGUGUUGAAGGGCCGCGGUAUUUUGACCGUGCAAAGGUAGCAUAAUCAUUAGUUCUUUAAUUGUGAUCUGGAAUGAAUGGCUUGACGAGGCACGGGCUGUCUUAGUGUUGAAUGUUUUAUUGAAUUUGGUCUUUGAGUUAAAAUUCUUAGAUGUUUUUGUGGGACGAGAAGACCCUAUAGAGUUUGACAUUUGGUUUAUUUACUUGUUUGUUGUUUGUUUAUUUUUGGUGAGUGGGCUUUUUGUUUUGUUGGGGUGAUGGGAGGAAUGUACUUAACUCCUCUUAGUUUUGGUUAUAUUGAUUUAUAAUUGUUUGAUCCAUUUAUUUUGAUUAUAAGACUAAAUUAC